RNAcentral lists this long non-coding RNA (311 nucleotides) under Elaeis guineensis (African oil palm). RNAcentral describes it as "long non-coding RNA (EGUI_LNC043485)". Lineage: Eukaryota; Viridiplantae; Streptophyta; Magnoliopsida; Arecales; Arecaceae. The record is from RNAcentral.
CCAUGGCAACCGAUCUUCAUCCGAGCUUCUACAAUAAGCGACCUCCUUUCAGACUCCUGCAAGAACCGGACUCCAUCCGAACUUCUACAAUAGAAUUGAAUUUCAGACUCCAUCAGUGGUCGAUCUUCCACAUGUCCUCAAGACUCCUCCAGCGGAUGAACUUCCACAACGCCUUCUGAACUCCACUAUCGGUCGACCUUCUGCUGGAUUCCUCAUAAAAUCAAACCUCUCCAGCAGACAGUCUUUAGAUGAGCUUCUACACUAGAUAAAUUCCAGACGGACUUCUCUAACAAUCAGACUUCUGCUGGACU